This 933-nucleotide long non-coding RNA is filed under the name Cricetulus griseus (Chinese hamster). RNAcentral's name for it is "lncRNA (ENSCGRG00015037009.1)". Lineage: Eukaryota; Metazoa; Chordata; Mammalia; Rodentia; Cricetidae. The record is from RNAcentral.
CCCAUGCUGCCUCCUGUCCCAGGGCUUCUGUGGCUGGCCCAGGAUGGGGAACGCAGUCAGGGAACACAAUGUGGCUCCUUGUUCCCCAGCUCAGCCUGCUGGAAUUGGCCCGUUUCCUGCCUAGGCCUUGGGGCCUUUUCCAAGGGUGGACACACACCUCUGCGCAUGUGUGGAGGACAAUGUUGGGGAAUAGGUUCUCUCCUUCUGCCAUGUGGGCGGGUUCUGUGAUCAAACUCAGGUCUUCAGACUUGGAUCCACACACCUUUACCAGCGGUGCCACCUCCCCAGCCCUUCUGGAACGCAUCCUAACGUGCAUUCUCAGAAGGAAACAGGAGAAGGUUCUGGGGAUUGAAAUCAGCUCACCAGGCUUGCUGGCCAGUGUGUUAACCCUCUAAGCCAUCUUGCCAGCCCCAAGAUCAGAGAAAUGAAUAGGUCUUGCCUGAGUUCCCACAGCUGGCAAAUGGAAGGGCAUCUAAGGCCAGACUAAAGGAAGGAACAGGAUCUGGAAAGUGUGACAGCUAGGUGACAACCAAAGAACGCUAAAUAGGCACCCUGGUGCAUGUGAGGCCUUUUGUCUUCUGACAACAGGGGAAACUGAGGCAGACAGGAAGAGGACCGUAGGAGAACCAGAAUCAAGAUUCAGAGUGGGUGAAGACACCAGCACCGCUCAUGUGGGUCAGAGGACAACUUGUGGAAGUCAGUUCUCUACUUUCCCAUGUGGGCCCUGGGCAGGUUUGCUCUCUUCCUGACUCAGCCUCUGGUGUGCUGGGAUCACGGGUUUGCAACACCCCAACCCACCCCCAGGCCCACUCCAGUUCUUUGGCUAUUUCUGGCUCCAUUUUGGGAAUUCCAGGCCUAGAUCUGUGAUGUCAGCAGAACUUCCCUCUUCUUGGCAUCGGAGGAACUUGUCUUUCUGUCUUCUGGGGUACAGAC